AGGGGGGGAAAGGGGAGGGUUGAGACACCGAUAAAAUGGGCGUGACUUGGCACUGGGGGCGGGGCCAGGACCUGAAGUUCAUGAUGCUCCACCUCUGCGCCCCCGUGUGUUCCUGAUGUUUGCAGUUGCCCUGGCUGAAUUAAAGUUGCAGCACAGCAGAUUUUGCUGCACUUGGCUAGCUGUGGGAGGAUCCACGUCACACCUCACUGCGGCUUUUGGUCGCUGAGUGUUUAACUGCUCCUUCCUGUGUGCUGAGAAACUCGAGUGAAAGGAAGGUCCACACUGCUCUUCGAUGGUAACACAGGUCACAGGCGGGGUUGGGGUGGCAGGGCACAGUGACUGGCAGAGACUGAGGCUGGGUGGCCCAUCUGGUGCCACGGUGAAAUCAUCCAACAUCAACAGGCCAUAAACCAUCUUUAAUCCACACUGUACGCCUUAUCUAGAGAAAAGCACGAGAAAAAAUAAAUCAAAAUUGUUCCCUGCUGUGGUUUGAUAAAGGAA
Long non-coding RNA from Mesocricetus auratus (golden hamster), 501 nucleotides. RefSeq lists it as uncharacterized. The transcript is spliced from 2 exons. Lineage: Eukaryota; Metazoa; Chordata; Mammalia; Rodentia; Cricetidae. The record is from RefSeq and is a predicted model, not a curated record.